CAGUACCAAGUAAUCUGUCUUUCCCCCAGCGGGCUGGACUUCACAGCGCCUUCCGCAACGAAUCGCUUGCAGCGGGAUGGGAUGCAACUUCUUGUAAUUGGAUCGCAGGCUUAAGUGAUAAUCGGGU
This 127-nucleotide long non-coding RNA is filed under the name Struthio camelus australis. RNAcentral's name for it is "lncRNA (ENSSCUG00000017663.1)". The record is from RNAcentral. Lineage: Eukaryota; Metazoa; Chordata; Aves; Struthioniformes; Struthionidae.